RNAcentral lists this ribosomal RNA (1515 nucleotides) under Triticum aestivum (bread wheat). Its description in RNAcentral is "partial small subunit ribosomal RNA". The record is from RNAcentral. Lineage: Eukaryota; Viridiplantae; Streptophyta; Magnoliopsida; Poales; Poaceae.
AUGGGCAGCAUUCCUGCAAGAAGCGGCCUCGUCACCGCCUUUGGUGAGCGGCCACCCUUCCAUCCACUCAACGACGAUGACGUACGAUCCUACCUCCACAAGGCCGUCGACUUCAUUUCCGACUACUACAAGUCCGUCGAGUCCAUGCCGGUGCUGCCCAGCGUCAAACCUGGCUACCUGCGGGACGAGCUCGGAGCGUCUCCGCCGGUGCACCCAGCCCCUUUCGACGUCGCCAUGAAAGAGCUCAGGGCGUCAGUGGUGCCUGGUAUCACACACUGGGCCAGCCCAAACUUCUUCGCAUUUUUUCCGGCGACCAAUAGCGCUGCGGCUAUCGCCGGAGAUCUCAUCGCCUCCGCAAUGAACACCGUUGGAUUCACGUGGCAGGCGGCUCCCGCUGCUACGGAGAUGGAGGUGCUCGCGCUGGACUGGCUCGCGCAGCUUCUGCGGCUUCCAAGGAGCUUCAUGAACCGCACCGGUGCUUCCCGGGGGACGGGCGGCAGCGUCAUUCUAGGGACGACGAGCGAGGCCAUGCUCGUCACGCUUGCCGCCGCCCGUGACAUAGCAAUGCGCCGGAGUGGGGCCGGGAUUUCAGACCUCGCCGUCUACGCCUCUGACCAGACCCACUCUACGUUCUUCAAGGCGUGCCGGCUGGCGGGCUUCGACCCUACAAAUUUCCGCUCAAUUCCCACCGGGCCAGAGACUGACUACGGCGUCGACCCGGUGAAGCUACUCGCGGCCAUGCAGGCCGACGACAUGGCCGGCCUCGUGCCGACCUACGUUUGCGCCACGGUGGGCACCACGUCCUCCAAUGCCGUCGACCCGAUAGGCGACGUCGCCAAAGUCGCGGCUAUGUUCAAUGUGUGGGUCCAUGUCGACGCUGCCUAUGCCGGCAGCGCGUGCAUUUGCCCAGAGUUUCGGCACCACCUGAAUGGCGUCGAGCACGUGGACUCCAUCAGCAUGAGCCCGCACAAGUGGCUGCUCACGUGUCUGGACUGCACUUGCCUCUACGUGCGUGAUGCGCGCCGCCUCAGCCAGUCGCUGGAGACUGACCCCGAGUACCUCAAGAACGAUGCCAGCGUGUCCGGCGACGUCACUGACCUCAAGGACAUGCAGGUCGGAGUCGGCCGCCGCUUCCGUGGCCUCAAACUUUGGAUGGUCAUGCGCACCUACGGCACCGCCAAUCUCCAAGAACACAUCCGCAGAGACGUCGCCAUGGCCAAGAUGUUUGAGGACUUGGUCCAUGCUGAUAAUCGGUUCGAGAUUGUCGUGCCGAGAAACUUUGCUCUGGUCUGCUUCAGGAUCAAGGCGGCUGGAGUUAGGGCGGAUGACGAGGUGAACCGUUUGCUCAUGGCAAACGUGAACAAGACCGGCAAGGCGUACCUUACGCACACAGUGGUAGGUGGCAAGCUCGUGCUGCGCUUCGCUGUGGGAUCGUCACUUCAGGAGGAGAGGCACAUUUUGAGCGCUUGGGAGCUCAUCAGGAAGACGAUCAGUGACAUGAUGAAAUAUGUAUGA